GUAAUACACAAUAUGCAUGUAUUUGCACUUUAUUAUGUUCUACAUUACACAAUUAGAAACCUCUUAGACUCUUUAAUAAAUUCAUAUACAUUCUUUACAAUUCUUUCAUUUUCAACAUUACGUAAAGACUUGUCGCCGGAGGUUAAGAUGUUCAAAUUUAGUAGAGAGUUAUCUGGUAACCAAUGUAGAUUAUUAAAUAAUUUG
Molecule: long non-coding RNA, 204 nt
Filed under: Mytilus galloprovincialis (Mediterranean mussel)
Lineage: Eukaryota; Metazoa; Mollusca; Bivalvia; Mytilida; Mytilidae
Source: RNAcentral